GUCAAGUGAGGAGGAGGAGGAGGAGGAGGAAGCGGCCGCCGCGGGGUCCGCGGCGCGCCGGGCCGGGGUAAGUCCGGGCCCGGCGUGGUGGCCGCGGGCGCCUCUGUACCAGGCUGAGACACUCCGGAGCCGUCAGGGCCUUGGCGCUCACGUGGGCUUUGUACGGCGCGCUCUUUCGGCACCUGGGUUCUUCUGCCCGGACUGGGGCAGCUCGCCCCCGCCCCGUAUUCUUACCUUAUGAGACGUCACCCUUGGCUCUGUCGAGAACCAGGCAGGUUUCCUCUGGAGGGAGGGGGCUGCCAUCUCACGCCUGUCCGAAGACAACCCCCAGGGGAUGGGAGAGGUGACUUGGGCGAGCCAGGCUCUCCUGACCCACCCAUCCCCAGCUUGGCAGCCCCUCGCUGGGCGCUUUGUUUUGUUGGGUCGGUCUAACUGGCGUCCUUGCCUUGGCCUCCUGUUUGAGGUGUUGUA
RNAcentral lists this long non-coding RNA (471 nucleotides) under Marmota monax (woodchuck). Lineage: Eukaryota; Metazoa; Chordata; Mammalia; Rodentia; Sciuridae. The record is from RNAcentral.